This 439-nucleotide ribosomal RNA is filed under the name uncultured bacterium. Its description in RNAcentral is "partial 16S ribosomal RNA". It matches the Rfam family "Bacterial small subunit ribosomal RNA", at positions 339 to 795 of the family's 1533-position model. The record is from RNAcentral.
CUACGGGAGGCAGCAGUAGGGAAUAUUGGACAAUGGGCGAAAGCCUGAUCCAGCAACACCGCGUGCACGAUGACGGCCUUCGGGUUGUAAAGUGCUUUUAGAGGAGAUGAGAAAGGACAGUAUCCUCUGAAUAAGCCUCGGCGAACUACGUGCCAGCAGCGCGGUAAAACGUAGGAGGCAAGCGUUAUCCGGAUUUAUUGGGCGUAAAGCGCGUGCAGGCGGUCUAACAAGUUGGAUGUGAAAGCUCCCGGCUCAACUGGGAGAGGUCGUUCAAUACUGUUAGACUAGAGAAUAGGAGAGGGAGGUGGAAUUCCGGGUGUAGUGGUGAAAUGCGUAGAUAUCCGGAGGAACACCAGUGGCGAAAGCGGCCUCCUGGACUAUUUCUGACGCUAAGACGCGAAAGCUAGGGUAGCAAACGGGAUUAGAUACCCCGGUAGUC